GACGAACGCUGGCGGCGUGCUUAACACAUGCAAGUCGAGCGGAAAGGCCCUUCGGGGUACUCGAGCGGCGAACGGGUGAGUAACACGUGAGUAACCUGCCCCAGACUUUGGGAUGACCCUCGGGAACGGGGGCUAAUACCGGAUACGACACAGCUUCGCAUGGGGUCUGUGUGGAAAGUUUUUCGGUUUGGGAUGGGCUCGCGGCCUAUCAGCUUGUUGGUGGGGUGAUGGCCUACCAAGGCGACGACGGGUAGCCGGCCUGAGAGGGCGACCGGCCACACUGGGACUGAGACACGGCCCAGACUCCUACGGGAGGCAGCAGUGGGGAAUAUUGCACAAUGGGCGGAAGCCUGAUGCAGCGACGCCGCGUGAGGGAUGACGGCCUUCGGGUUGUAAACCUCUUUCAGCAGGGACGAAGCGUAAGUGACGGUACCUGCAGAAGAAGCGCCGGCCAACUACGUG
This 462-nucleotide ribosomal RNA is filed under the name uncultured bacterium. RNAcentral describes it as "partial 16S ribosomal RNA". It matches the Rfam family "Bacterial small subunit ribosomal RNA", at positions 28 to 507 of the family's 1533-position model. The record is from RNAcentral.